GGGGAUGUAUUUCAGUUGGUAGAGAGCUUGCCUUGUAUGCACAAGACCCUGGGUUCAAUCCCCAGCACCA
Non-coding RNA from Ictidomys tridecemlineatus (thirteen-lined ground squirrel), 70 nucleotides. Lineage: Eukaryota; Metazoa; Chordata; Mammalia; Rodentia; Sciuridae. The record is from Rfam.